CCUACGGGUGGCAGCAGUGGGGAAUAUUGCACAAUGGGGGAAACCCUGAUGCAGCGACGCCGCGUGAGCGAUGAAGUAUUUCGGUAUGUAAAGCUCUAUCAGCAGGGAAGAAAAUGACGGUACCUGACUAAGAAGCCCCGGCUAACUACGUGCCAGCAGCCGCGGUAAUACGUAGGGGGCAAGCGUUAUCCGGAUUUACUGGGUGUAAAGGGCGCGUAGACGGUCGUGCAAGCCAGAUGUGAAAGCCCGGGGCGCAACCCCGGGACUGCAUUUGGAACUGUAAGGCUAGAGGGUCGGAGAGGCAGGUGGAAUUCCUAGUGUAGCGGUGAAAUGCGUAGAUAUUAGGAGGAACACCAGUGGCGAAGGCGGCCUGCUGGACGAUGACUGACGUUGAGGCUCGAAAGCGUGGGGAGCAAACAGGAUUAGAUACCCUAGUAGGC
Molecule: ribosomal RNA, 440 nt
Filed under: uncultured bacterium
Lineage: Bacteria
Description: partial 16S ribosomal RNA
Rfam family: Bacterial small subunit ribosomal RNA
Source: RNAcentral